RNAcentral lists this long non-coding RNA (3109 nucleotides) under Acanthaster planci (crown-of-thorns starfish). Its description in RNAcentral is "uncharacterized LOC110975848". The record is from RNAcentral. Lineage: Eukaryota; Metazoa; Echinodermata; Asteroidea; Valvatida; Acanthasteridae.
CGCAAGGUGUGAUUGAGUCAUUCAUGCUUUACAAAGAUGAGCUGUUGAUUUACAUUUAAAUUUUGUAAAUGAGCUAUCUUUAUUGAAACUACCCAAAAGAUAUCAGACAUCUGUUUCUAUAUACAGCCUUUUGGUUCCUCAAAACUGUUACAUGUUCUUGUAUGUAUACAUUUUAUUUAUUUAUUCAUUAUUUACCUUGGGUAAUCCAUUCAGUGACCAAAAUUCACUGAUCUUUCAUAGAUCCCAGCUCACAUAUCUGUUAUUACAAUUGUAAUUAAUCAAAAACCACAUUAAAACAAUAAGUUAGAUUAAAAACACUAAAAAAAGCUAUUAAGAAUCAACAAAACUGUUAAAAAAUCACACACAUUAAGCACAUACAUUAGGCAAAAUUCAUCAGUUUGAGUUGAUUCAGAAAAACUAUUCAGACUUAAAUGAGAAGAUUUCAUAUGUUGGUAAAUUGUUCUGCGAAAAUUAAAAGUUCUUCCACUUUCUGUUCUAGGAUGCGGGAGAACUAUGUUACCAACGGUGCUAUUUCUUGUUUGGUGACGAUGUGAGCCACUGACUCGAAUAAAAACAUCACUGAGAUAUUUUAGUACCUUACAAAUUAAACAUUUAAAAAAACCAUAGUAUUUUGGAUAUCUCUUCUUGCCUGAAGAGAAUUCCGUCCCAAUUCGCCUUGCAUUACUGAUGGAGAUGUUCGAGAUGGAACCUUCAGAACAGUGCAUCUUGCUCUAUUCAUAACUACAUCAGGCCUGUAAUCAGAAAUUUUGAGGCGUGACUCCAAACCAGAUCACAGUAAUCAAACAGAGGAAAAAUGAGGCUUUUGAGGACAAGAUUGAGUGUAAUACAGGCAAGACAUUUUUAAGUCUGUUUAAAACACCUAUACAUUAUGUAGCUCUAGGACAACACUCACUUUUAACGGCAAUAAUUUCCAGAUGAAAUACAAAUCAACACACUCAUUACUGAGAUAAGAUGACCCUUAGACCAUUCUUAAGUUAAGACGAGUUCAGCUGCAUUUCUAAGGUAGUCAGGAGUUGUUGGUUGUGUGCUAAAUUUGGUGGAAUUGAUUGAAUGACUAGUCAAGUCAAGUCAAGACAAGUUACCCUUCUAAAGAUUAUUUUUAGCACUUCACGAUUUGGGCCCAUCUGACUGCACAAUGGUCAGGUUUCAUCACAAUAGCUAUUUGGACAGAGUGACCAAGUGUAAACAGCUGAGCAGAAACAUUAUGCUGUCUUUUUGCCUGUCUCCAUGACAACCGUAACUUGUUUCAGGGCCAUGAAGAUACACUCUUGACACUUGAAGCUGAAAUCUUGUAUUGGUGACCAAUAGCUUAGCUCAACUGCCUCUUUCUCACAACAAAUAACAAAGCUCUUAAAUGGAAUAAGGUGUGGAACUUGGCCACAGUUACAAAAUGGGAAUUUAUUUCAAUUUACCAUUGUGUAGUGAGAGUAAACGUUUGAUAAAACUGAAAGAAGUGUGGACCUCGAGCUGGACCAAGAGAGGGCACUGUUUUCUUAGCGAAGGAGGCUCCUUAGGUCAGAACUGAAGUUCAUUGGUUCACAAACAACCAAGAAAUGAGUGCAUUAUGGUCACAUCACUACCAACUAAAUGAACACUUCUGACUUAGAGCGUCCUCUCAAAAAUCACAAUUUUACCAUUUCUUUUGUUUGUUGCUAUUUCAAAAAAGUUUAGACAGACGCUUGUUGGCGACGUGCUGUAGUUUGAUUCAGGCAUUCAGAUCCCUUGAGGGAGAAUGGUGAAUCCACAGAGCUAUAUUAAAUUACCGGAGGACAACCCGGGCGCAUCCAUGUUUCUACACAAACCCAUCGAAAACUUGAAAUUCUGUACAGCUUUUGUACCUGCAGCUGUAGUGGGGAAUAAAGGGGAAACACUCUGUUAAAUUCAGAAAGAAUAUAUGUACUUGCCAUGAGGGAGUAUUUGGCCAAGACUAGAAUGUGAGAAUGGAUGCUGAUACUGCACAAGUCAAGGACGAGGGGCAUUAUCCGUGUCCAAGACUGGCCAAGCACAAUGUUCAUUCCCCUUCGUAAAUAUUGUCUGGGCCAGAAUGUCAAAAGAAGUUAAAUCUUAAAUUUCCAACCAUUCUUAUUCAACUGUUUUACUUCAUUUUUUUUCCCAACCCCUCCCUUGGCCAUGUUAUGGUACACAUGUAUGUGUCACCUGCAAGUCGGUUCUUAAUGAGCCAUUUAAGACUGGCCUUGUGAUGGGUUCUUGAUAAAUACGUGUGGAAAGGCUAAACCGCCUCAGCUAUUGAACGCAUGUAUUCAUAAAUAGCUUUAUGGUUGAAUCAGAUGACAGAGCAUACCUUUUUGCCGUUAUGUAUUUUAAGAAAGGCUUUCAUGUACCCCUGCAUCCCCAGUGAUCUUCGCGAUUAUACCAGUGACUGGCAUCCAAGGCCUGUGUGAUGUGGGAAUGUGAAGGUGUGAGUAGGGUCUGGACAGGUAAACCUUGCUUGAUAUCAGGCCAGCUGCCCUCCUGCCCAGGAGGGUGCUGCGUCAGUGACUUUGAGCACAGAAAACUUGAUGCAUUUACAUCGGCAAUCAAGAAAUUGAGAACAUUAGGGAUUUGAGCUGCUGUAGAUCAUUUGUUUUGAGCUCAAGUAGAAUGUCUUCCAUUUCUUCCUUCAAAGAGUUGGUCUGACAGCUGUGUUGUCGUUGGUGACUGUCAAUUUGUGGAGAUGAUCGAUCAGAGUGGCAGUGUGUCUGCGUCGGUCUGCACCGUGGCAAAGCCUGUGAAAUCACCACGGAAACAGUAUACACUGAUGGACUAGAAAGUGACCAUGGUAUGCAAGGGCUGACCCACGGGGGCAAAGGGGAACUACACCCCCACUCCAAAAAUGAUACCUUAAGGGAUUGCCUUGGUCCUGAUUGUUGCCAUGACAACUACUCAGCCUCCAGUAUCCUCUGUAAAACCUCCCAAGACCCUGGAAACCUCCCGAGACUGUCCUGGGCCAGGAUGUGAUGUCCCUUGUCAUUCCUCAUCCGAGACCUUACAGUUGCUACAGGUUCCUGGUGGAGAAUGAAAGUGUUCAGACUGGGGCAGUGUUACACGAUGUGGAUCCAAGGUCCUGGUACACACAAACAAACAAACA